This 307-nucleotide unclassified non-coding RNA is filed under the name plant metagenome. Its description in RNAcentral is "partial contains 5.8S ribosomal RNA, internal transcribed spacer 2, and large subunit ribosomal RNA". The stretch from base 1 to 105 matches the Rfam family "5.8S ribosomal RNA", at positions 50 to 154 of the family's 154-position model. The record is from RNAcentral.
GAAAUGCGAUAAGUAGUGUGAAUUGCAGAAUUCAGUGAAUCAUCGAAUCUUUGAACGCACAUUGCGCCCCUUGGUAUUCCAUGGGGCAUGCCUGUUCGAGCGUCAUUUGUACCCUCAAGCUCUGCUUGGUGUUGGGUGUUUGUCCCCGUCUCCGCGCGUGGACUCGCCCCAAAGUGAUUGGCAGCCGGCGUACUGGUCCCGGAGCGCAGCAGAAACGCGAACUCGUGAGCCCGUCCGGGCGGCUCCCAGAAGCUACACCCACCCAGUUUGACCUCGGAUCAGGUAGGGAUACCCGCUGAACUUAAGC